GACGAACGCUGGCGGCGUGCUUAACACAUGCAAGUCGAACGGAAAGGCCCUGCUUGCAGGGUACUCGAGUGGCGAACGGGUGAGUAACACGUGGGUGAUCUGCCAUGCACUUCGGGAUAAGCUUGGGAAACUGGGUCUAAUACCGGAUAGGAGCCAUCUUUAGUGUGGUGGUUGGAAAGUUUUUUCGGUGUAGGAUGAGCUCGCGGCCUAUCAGCUUGUUGGUGGGGUAAUGGCCUACCAAGGCGGCGACGGGUAGCCGGCCUGAGAGGGUGUACGGCCACAUUGGGACUGAGAUACGGCCCAGACUCCUACGGGAGGCAGCAGUGGGGAAUAUUGCACAAUGGGCGCAAGCCUGAUGCAGCGACGCCGCGUGGGGGAUGAAGGCCUUCGGGUUGUAAACUCCUUUCGCUAGGGACGAAGCUUUGUUGUGACGGUACCUAGAUAAGAAGCACCGGCUAACUACGUG
This 466-nucleotide ribosomal RNA is filed under the name uncultured bacterium. Its description in RNAcentral is "partial 16S ribosomal RNA". It matches the Rfam family "Bacterial small subunit ribosomal RNA", at positions 28 to 507 of the family's 1533-position model. The record is from RNAcentral.